RNAcentral lists this long non-coding RNA (551 nucleotides) under Brassica napus (rape). RNAcentral describes it as "long non-coding RNA (BNAP_LNC019025)". The record is from RNAcentral. Lineage: Eukaryota; Viridiplantae; Streptophyta; Magnoliopsida; Brassicales; Brassicaceae.
UUUGAGUAGUUUUCGGUUGAGUUUUAGACAAUUUAUACAUAAUUGUUUUCAAAGUUGUUCAUAGUGCUCGACUUCGAUUGAUCGCCAAAUUUGAUACAUAAACUAAAUUAAUAUCAAUAAUUGAAACCAUACUAGAAAAAACUUAAUAGAUGGAACAAUACUGGAUUUAUUUAUAUCUGUUAUUAUGCUUCCGUCAGUAUUUAGUCCAUUUGGAUUUGAAUUUCCACGUGAAUUGGACUUAUCUAUUAAAAAAAUCAGAACAAUUAUGUCUACUCCAACGUUGUAUGGUGGUGCUAGAAAAGAGAAUUAGAUAUAGAUAAUAUCAUGAUAUUAAGAUUACUUAAUUACCAGAUGGAAUCGUAUCGGACAGUAUCGUAAAUUGAUGAAUACCCACACUACAAUAUUUGUAUAUAAAUAGAAACACCAGAAAGGUUUUGAUAUAACUUAUCCAUAUUAGCCGUGUUCCUUUGUUAACCGCAAGACGCUCCCGCUGCGGCAAGAAAAAGCACGGUGGUGAUGAUCAAAAUAAUAGAAUCUGAAGCUAAAGUAAC